GUGGGGAAUAUUGGACAAUGGGCGCAAGCCUGAUCCAGCCAUGCCGCGUGUGUGAAGAAGGUCUUCGGAUUGUAAAGCACUUUAAGUUGGGAGGAAGGGCAGUAAGUUAAUACCUUGCUGUUUUGACGUUACCGACAGAAUAAGCACCGGCUAACUUCGUGCCAGCAGCCGCGGUAAUACGAAGGGUGCAAGCGUUAAUCGGAAUUACUGGGCGUAAAGCGCGCGUAGGUGGUUUUGUAAGUUGGAGGUGAAAUCCCCGGGCUCAACCUGGGAACUGCCUCCAAAACUGCAUGACUAGAGUACGGUAGAGGGUAGUGGAAUUUCCUGUGUAGCGGUGAAAUGCGUAGAUAUAGGAAGGAACACCAGUGGCGAAGGCGACUACCUGGACUGAUACUGACACUGAGGUGCGAAAGCGUGGGGAGCAAACAGGAUUAGAUACCCGUGUAGUCC
Molecule: ribosomal RNA, 450 nt
Filed under: uncultured bacterium
Lineage: Bacteria
Description: partial 16S ribosomal RNA
Rfam family: Bacterial small subunit ribosomal RNA
Source: RNAcentral